This is a long non-coding RNA of Erpetoichthys calabaricus (reedfish), 744 nucleotides long. RefSeq lists it as uncharacterized. The transcript has 2 exons. NCBI's taxonomy places the organism in Eukaryota, Metazoa, Chordata, Cladistia, Polypteriformes, Polypteridae. The record is from RefSeq and is a predicted model, not a curated record.
AACCCACCCUUUACUCUAUUAAUAACAGGGACAACUGCUAAGCAAUAUGAAAUCGGUAGAUAAGUUUUCACUUACUGUAUAGCGAAGUACACGUAGCUAUAUAUGACAUGAUGAUGGUGAUGAAUAUGCUGCGCAGUAAAAAUGAUGACGAUGAAGGUGAUGAUGACUUUUACUGCGCAGCCGAUGACUGUAUUUUACGUCUUUUCAGACGGCAGUGCCAUUUCCUGGGGCACCUCCUCCACGGUUUCCGAAGGUGUAUCUGUAGUAGUAGGAACUGGCUCUUUUUUGCGAGGCUGCAAAAACAUUGUGAUCGGCAGUUGCUGCCGCUGCUUCUUUUUCUGGUUGAAGAGCAGCUUGUAGGCGGUCAUGACGUCGUCGACCUUGUUGCAAAAUUGGACCGAUCGAACCAUAUCGUCGCUCAGCACCAGCCUUGGAAGAAGGAGCACGUUUGGGAGCCAUUGCAGGGGGUGAAAAUUGAAGCGAAGUUCAACACAAAGAAUCCACAAAAAAAUCACACACAGCACAGUGUAAAGUAAACCGCUCGGCGAGAAAGCUUGAAGCGAAUGACAAGGGGAGAUACUGUGGGAUCUAGGCAUCAGUCAAAGCACCAAUUACAGGCCCGAUUAGAAAGCGGGAAGCUGUGAUUUGUCGUCUCCCUCCCAUGUAACAAUCACAGCCCGUGUUACAACGCACUUAGUCACCGAACUUGUUUUGUUGUUCUUAGACUAGGAAAUACUACUACUA